Prosopis cineraria is the source of this 2633-nucleotide long non-coding RNA. RefSeq lists it as uncharacterized. The record is from RefSeq and is a predicted model, not a curated record. Lineage: Eukaryota; Viridiplantae; Streptophyta; Magnoliopsida; Fabales; Fabaceae. The transcript has 3 exons.
GUACAGCAAUACUCCCAUGGGGAGAAAGCAUUGGAGACACAAGCAAGUGACUGCUUUAAUGAAUUGUUGUCUAGGUCUUUCUUUCAGCAAUAUGAAGGUGAUCCAAGAAAGUUUGUCACGCAUGAUCUCAUCAAUGAUUUAGCCAAAUUCGUAUCUGGUAGGAGUUGUCUUUGGUUUGAAGGCAAUGAAAUCCCAAAAUCUGUUCGCCAUUUAUCAUAUCCCAAACAACGAUCUGAUGACUUUAAAAAGUUUGAGAGCUUUUAUCAUUUAAAGUGUUUGAGGACUCUUUUGUCACAUUACCAACUAAAUAUGGGCUCUUUUGUUUUUUUGCCCAAAAAGGUGCCACCUGAUUUGUUUUCAAAACUAAAAUGUUUAAGAGCACUGUCAUUGUCAGGGUAUUACAGUAUCACUAGCUGCCUAAUUCAAUUGGCAACUUGCGGCAUUUGCGAUAUUUGGACCUUUCCUACACCUCAAUCACUCGGUUGCCUAAUUCAAGCUUUACACCCUACAACUUGCAAACCUUGCUUUUAUCGUAUUGUUUGUCUUUCAAUGACUUGCCUGGAAAGAUAGAGAAGCUUAUUAAUCUACGCCAUCUGGACAUUAGUGGCAUUGCUUUGAAGGAGAUGCCAACACAAAUUUGCAAACUUCAAAAUCUUUAUAAUUUGAGUACUUUUGUGGUGGGAAAACAGAAGGAUGGUUUGGGGAUUAAGGAGUUAAGAAAACUCCCUCAUCUACAAGGUAGGCUUUCCAUUAGCUACAGAAGGUCGUUGAUUGCAUGGAUGCUUAUGUGGUGAACUUGAAGAGGAGAGAAAAAAUUGAGGAGUUAGUGUUGGAAUGGGACUGUGAUACUCAGGAUUCACAAGUUGUAAAAGAUGUACUUGACACGCUGCAACCUUCAAGAAAUUUACAAAGAUUGACCGUUAACCAUUAUGGUGGUACUAGCUUUCCAAAUUGGGUGGGAAAUUCUUCAUUUACAAAUAUUACCUUUUUAUCUAUAAGUGAUUGCAACUAUUGCUUAUCACUUCCACCAUUUGGACAACUACCUUCUCUCAAAGAGCUCUUGAUUAAAGGAAUAACAUUACUACACACAGCUAGUCAUGAGUUUUAUUGCAGUAAAAUAGAGUCCUCUUCAUUUCAGCCAUUUCGGAUUUUGAAAAGUCUAAGAUUUGAGAAGAUGCCAGUUUGGGAGGAAUGGAUACCAUUUGAAGGUGAAGGUACCAAAUUUCCAUUUCCUUGUCUUAAACAUUUGUAUUUAUAGGAUUGUCCUAUGUUGAAGGGAGACAUUCCCGACAAUCUUCCUUCAUUGACAAAGGUUGACAUAUUAAAGUGCAAUCAAUUGAAGGUAAAAUCAUCAGCUUUGCAAUGGAUUACAUCUAUUGAGGAAUUAAAUAUUGAACUAGGGGAACAAGGCUUGUUGAGGACUCUUGAUAAUGAUUCUCCGGUCUCACUAAAAUGUCUCCGAAUUGAGGUGUGUUACAGCUUGCAGUCUUUGCCAAGAUUGAAACCGAGUAGCCAUUAUCUUCAAGACUUUUUAUCUCAUAAAUAUUCAAUUUGUGAAGUCCUUCCCAAUAAAUGGCUUGCCCGCUUCACUGCGACGGCUUGAAAUUUGGGACUGUGAGAAAUUAGAAUUCCUACCCCAGGAAUCUUGGCAAAACUACACGUGACUUGAACAUUUGGAAAUUAAAAAUAGUUGUCAUUCCUUGACAUCCUUUUCCUUAAGUUGUUUUCCAAGGCUGAAACAUCUUUAUUUUGAUGGUUGUCUUAAUCUGGAGAUGUUUACACAAUUUGGGGGAUCUGCUCUUACCUUAGAAUCUUUUGGUGCCUUUGAUUGCAAAAGUCUUAGAUCAAUGACAGAAGUAAAAAUUGAUUCUCUUGGUGCUCUUCAAAAGUUUAAUCUUUCUCGGCUUCCGAAUUUUAACUUGCUGCCUCAACAUGGUUUACCUUCUAACUUGCGAUCAAUUUUGGUUGAUGAUUGCAAGGGACUAUCAUCUAUGUCCAUAGAGGAUUGGGGUUUCCAACGGAUGGCUUCUCUCUUAGAAUUUUGGUUUAGAGGUGAUGAAGGUGAAGGGAUUCUCCACAAUUUACUGAAGAAACAGUUACUGCCAACUUCUCUUGUGCGUGUCUACAUACGGAAUGUCCCUAAUCUUAAAUUCUUGGAUGGAAAAGGGAUUCAACACCUUGCUUCUCUAGAAGCACUCUACAUCCAUGAUUGUCCAAACCUUGAAUCUUUGCCAGAAGAUGAUCUGCCAUCCUCUCUUUUGUUAUUGCAUAUCUCUCGCUGUCCUGAAUUAAGAGAGAGAUAUCAUUAUCAGAGAGGAAAGCACUUGUCCAAGAUUGCUCAUACUCCUACUAUAAAGAUUAAUGACCAACACUAUGAUUCUUGAGGGAGAUGUUACAUGCAUAGAAUCAAAAGGCUUGCACAUCACAAUGUUGGUAUUCCCUUGUGGUCAUAGCAUUUGUUUACAUCUUAUGACUAGAUCUUGCCUGCAGCAGAUAUAGUUACAUAAGCAGCAUGUUACUGGCUUUCAAUGAGCAAAGCUAAAGUCAAAAGUUCGCCAAAAGUGCCGCGUAUAAAGCGAUGCUUAUAGUGGGAACAAACCACUUUUCAAUUUUCUUUUUUAUAUCAUAUUGUU